GAUUCUGGCUCAGAACGAACGCUGGCGGCAGGCCUAACACAUGCAAGUCGAGCGCGCCCUUCGGGGUGAGCGGCGGACGGGUUAGUAACGCGUGGGAACGUACCCUUUGGUAGGGAAUAGCCACUGGAAACGGUGAGUAAUACCCUAUGAGCCCUUCGGGGGAAAGAUUUAUCGCCAAAGGAUCGGCCCGCGUUAGAUUAGGUAGUUGGUGGGGUAAUGGCCUACCAAGCCUACGAUCUAUAGCUGGUUUUAGAGGAUGAUCAGCAACACUGGGACUGAGACACGGCCCAGACUCCUACGGGAGGCAGCAGUGGGGAAUCUUGGACAAUGGGGGCAACCCUGAUUCCCAGCCAUGCCGCGUGAGUGAAGAAGGCCUUAGGGUCGUAAAGCUCUUUCGCCUGUGAAGAUAAUGACGGUAGCAGGUAAAGAAACCCCGGCUAACUCCGUGCCAGCCGCUGC
This 459-nucleotide ribosomal RNA is filed under the name uncultured bacterium. Its description in RNAcentral is "bacterial SSU rRNA". It matches the Rfam family "Bacterial small subunit ribosomal RNA", at positions 15 to 518 of the family's 1533-position model. The record is from RNAcentral.